UCGAGCGGACAGAUGGGAGCUUGCUCCCUGAUGUUAGCGGCGGACGGGUGAGUAACACGUGGGUAACCUGCCUGUAAGACUGGGAUAACUCCGGGAAACCGGGGCUAAUACCGGAUGGUUGUCUGAACCGCAUGGUUCAGACAUAAAAGGUGGCUUCGGCUACCACUUACAGAUGGACCCGCGGCGCAUUAGCUAGUUGGUGAGGUAACGGCUCACCAAGGCGACGAUGCGUAGCCGACCUGAGAGGGUGAUCGGCCACACUGGGACUGAGACACGGCCCAGACUCCUACGGGAGGCAGCAGUAGGGAAUCUUCCGCAAUGGACGAAAGUCUGACGGAGCAACGCCGCGUGAGUGAUGAAGGUUUUCGGAUCGUAAAGCUCUGUUGUUAGGGAAGAACAAGUGCCGUUCAAAUAGGGCGGCACCUUGACGGUACCUAACCAGAAAGCCACGGCUAACUACGUGCCAGCAGCCGCGGUAAUACGUAGGUGGCAAGCGUUGUCCGGAAUUAUUGGGCGUAAAGGGCUCGCAGGCGGUUUCUUAAGUCUGAUGUGAAAGCCCCCGGCUCAACCGGGGAGGGUCAUUGGAAACUGGGGAACUUGAGUGCAGAAGAGGAGAGUGGAAUUCCACGUGUAGCGGUGAAAUGCGUAGAGAU
This 653-nucleotide ribosomal RNA is filed under the name Bacillus velezensis. RNAcentral's name for it is "bacterial SSU rRNA". It matches the Rfam family "Bacterial small subunit ribosomal RNA", at positions 62 to 697 of the family's 1533-position model. Lineage: Bacteria; Bacillati; Bacillota; Bacilli; Caryophanales; Bacillaceae. The record is from RNAcentral.